AUGUUACGUCUUUUAAAUAAUUGAUGACUCUCAGUCCGAGCCAGCUUGAAGGAAAUUCUGAAAAUAGAGCUGACAAUUUACUGGUUCAUCAAUGAAACAAUAUUACAUUAUGAAGAUGUAAGGAAAAAAUUCUACGCUAACAUUGUUGCAGUUUGAAAGUUUGCAGGUCCCCCUAACAAUCUGCGGCAAUUUCCCAACCAGCUGUUGGUGUCCUAGGGCCCGGUGCUUUGUCUCCGUUUUCUUGAGCUAUCAAAUCAUCCUAUAAAGGGGAUUACCUGAGGGCUGUUGUUUCCCAGGUUUGUAUUUAGCGGCCGGUUUGUUGUUUUGUU
This 329-nucleotide long non-coding RNA is filed under the name Capra hircus (goat). Its description in RNAcentral is "lncRNA (ENSCHIG00010017359.1)". Lineage: Eukaryota; Metazoa; Chordata; Mammalia; Artiodactyla; Bovidae. The record is from RNAcentral.